CUACGGGUUGCUGCAGUGAGGAAUAUUGCACAAUGGGGGGAACCCUGAUGCAGCAACGCCGCGUGGAGGAUGACGCAUUUCGGUGUGUAAACUCCUUCUAUAUGUCAAGAAAAUGACGGUAGCACAUGAAUAAGCACCGGCUAACUCCGUGCCAGCAGCCGCGGUAAUACGGAGGGUGCAAGCGUUACUCGGAAUCACUGGGCGUAAAGGACGCGUAGGCGGGUUGGAAAGUCAGGUGUGAAAUCCUACAGCUUAACUGUAGAACUGCACUUGAAACUUCUAAUCUAGAGUAUGGGAGGGGGAAAUGGAAUUAGUGGUGUAGGGGUAAAAUCCGUAGAUAUCACUAGGAAUACCUAAAGCGAAGGCGAUCUCCUGGAACAUUACUGACGCUAAGGCGUGAAAGCGUGGGGAGCAAACAGGAUUAGAUACCCUUGUAGUC
This 439-nucleotide ribosomal RNA is filed under the name uncultured bacterium. RNAcentral's name for it is "partial 16S ribosomal RNA". It matches the Rfam family "Bacterial small subunit ribosomal RNA", at positions 339 to 795 of the family's 1533-position model. The record is from RNAcentral.